AUUUGUUUGAAGAGCAUGUGAAGGGUCUGACUAGAUGAUGAAUGCCAAUAUUAAAUCUGCUGGAGUUACCUGUACAAGAUGAAGAGAGACAACGUCCAAAAUUAGUUGAGAUGAUUUCCUUAAAUGUGGCUUAAGAAGUAUGGACACAUAAAGCUCUACCUUGAAAAUGAGAAUAGAUUUUAUCUUACUUAGAGAUAAAGAAUGGGCUGUGGAACAGAUUCAGUUUGCAUUUGGUUUGUUAAAUUUAUAAGGCCAUAAAACAAUUAGGUAAAACAGAAAGCUUCUAUGAUUCUAUUUGUAUGUACAUUAGCAGAAACUUCCAGGAGUUCCUGUAAAUUCUCAAAGUGUUGUUUCAGCAGUACUAAUUUAAUGCUGACAUACGAUAGAUUAAAAUUUUAUGUUAAGCUAUCAACUGUUCUCUUGGGAACUGAACUUUUCCUCUGGGGCUUUGGGCUGACAUUGCAUUUGACUUUUUAUAUAGUGCCAGGGCAAAGAUGGAUUAAUCUACCCCAAAUUCAAGCAUAAUGAAUGCAUUUUGCUUACAUACUAUUCCUAUUCAAAAAGAACACUAGAUUCAUUUAAACAGAUAACAAAGAAUAGAAGUACAUUGCUGUCAAUGAAUUUCAAAAUAUUUUUUAUUUCUGCAUACAUUGAAUAACUUUUACAGUUUAAAAAAAUGAUCUGUUUUGAAGGUAAAAUUGACAAAUUUUGAAAUGAAAAAGGCUAAUAUGUGAAGGAGCCAAACUAAAUCAAAUAUUUGUGAAGUCAAUACUGGAAGCUUGCUUACAUUGAAUUUAGAAAAACUUUUAUACUCUUUUCUGUAAAUACUUCUUUUUAAACUGAAUCAGAGUA
RNAcentral lists this long non-coding RNA (852 nucleotides) under Bos taurus (domestic cattle). RNAcentral describes it as "long non-coding RNA NONBTAT011793". The record is from RNAcentral. Lineage: Eukaryota; Metazoa; Chordata; Mammalia; Artiodactyla; Bovidae.